GGAAAAAAGGAGAAUGGGGGGGGCAGGAGAGAGGAUUUGAAAAGGGAAGGAGGGGCAACGAUGGAGCGAGAGAGACAGGAGCGAAAAGGCGAAGAUUGCCUAUGAAGGAACCUUACUCUGUGUGACUGACUGAGAGGUGAUCCACGAGCUUUCCUCUCAUUAAACAUUCCUGGAGCAUCAGGCAGAGCGAGAGAGACAGAGGAGGGAACGGCUGGUGGCAUCAGAUUGCGGGAACAAUUCUGGUGCUUCUUGUGAAUGGGGUUUUCCUCAUGACAUCCUCUUUUUGAGUCAGUCAAAUCAAGAGACAUGGGUCAUUAACAGGAAGACGCCUUGGUGACUUGCCCUCAGGGGAUGCGAGGACUGCUGAUAUCAAACCUGCCCCAGUUAAGUGGGAAGAGGGUAGGCUUGCUGAAACCUAACACAGAGUGGUGGGAGCAUGUCCUCAUUUGGGAAACUGACCGAGUACUUCAGCUUGAGAAAGUCGGGGGAGGACAUUCGGCCUGGACGCAGCACUGGCAGAAGGAGUGGGAGUUAUUGUUGUUCUGUAACACAGUCAAGGUCUCUGGAUAGAAAGCUACAGAGACCUGUUCUUGGGAAGUCUUUGACCCUUCCCAGCAUCCCCCAGUCUCCAGUGCUGACCAGAGU
This is a long non-coding RNA of Xenopus laevis (African clawed frog), 645 nucleotides long. RefSeq lists it as uncharacterized. The record is from RefSeq and is a predicted model, not a curated record. NCBI's taxonomy places the organism in Eukaryota, Metazoa, Chordata, Amphibia, Anura, Pipidae. The transcript has 3 exons.